This 1012-nucleotide long non-coding RNA is filed under the name Gossypium barbadense (sea-island cotton). RNAcentral describes it as "long non-coding RNA (GBAR_LNC018606)". The record is from RNAcentral. Lineage: Eukaryota; Viridiplantae; Streptophyta; Magnoliopsida; Malvales; Malvaceae.
AAAAAAACUUUCAAAACCCCCAUCUCUCUCAAACCCCCACCCCUUUUCGGCCUAAGGGUUUCGGCCGUUGGCCAUCAUCGACCCCGCCGUGGGCGAUGGUCGGAGGCACCCGACAAUCGGGUUUUUAAACCCCGUUCGAAACACGCGCAAAAGCCCACCCUUCUUGGCCGGAAGGUCGAAGGAAAAAGGUUCCCCCACGCACUCUCUCGGUCUGAUUUCGGCGACCAAAAGGGGUCUCCGACGACGGGAUUCGCAGGGCGAUUCCAGGUACUUUCUUUUUCCUUCCGUUUUUAAUCGCUUUCGUUUACAUAUACAGAGAAGAAAAAUAGAAAAAUGAAAAAAAAAUAGAUAUCUAAAACAAAAAAAAUCACCUUAAGUGCUUUUUUGCUUUUUAUUUUCUGAAAUGUUCGUAAAAAAGGGGAACCCCAAGUUCAGUGAUGAGAUUCGGCUUUUAUAUCCCAUUUCAAUCUCUUUCAUUUCCAUUUUUAUAUUGUUUUUUCUACAUUAUUUUUUUAUGUUUUUCUUUAUUGUUGCGUGCUAUUCUUCGUUUUGCAGGUGAUUGAUGGCGCAAUUGGGGCGGCGACGUGGCCGUGGCCGUGGCAGUGGCAGACGCGCGGCUGUGGCGCGACGUGACCUAGGAUUAUGGUUACUGCCUCUUUUUUUGAAAAUGGGCAUUGGGCUUUUGGGAUUUGGGUUUAAUUGGGCUUGAUAUGUAAUGGGUCAUGGAUUGUUGAUAUGUUUAUUUGUUUGCAUGCAUUGGGCCUGGGCUGAAUUGGCCUACAACAUAUGCAAUAACAUUUAAACCCAAAACACCUUAAUACCCACUGUCUCUAUUUUAUCAAUUCAACCAAAGCCCUGCUUAAUUUGUUUAACCAAAAUCCUAUUUAAUUUGUAUUUUCUCCGAAUAAUGAAUGUGCAAUCUAAUCUACAAUUUAUAUAAAAGCAUUAAUUUGGAAAAAUUAUUGAACUAAUGAGAAUAUCUUUUAUUUUCUAUCAUAUUAUUAAAUUGGUA